GAUAAACGCUGGCGGCGUGCCUAAUACAUGCAAGUCGUUCGAUUGGAUGCCCAGCUUGCUGAAGAGGAAAUAGAGGCGAACGGGUGAGUAAUACGUAAGCAACCUGCCCACGAAGACCGGGAUAAUCCCUGGAAACGGGGACUAAGACCGGAUAGGUAACAGAACCGCAUGAUUUUGUUAUUAAAGGUUAAAAACACUGGUGGAUGGGCUUACGGUGCAUUAGCUUGUUGGUGAGGUAACGGCCCACCAAGGCGAUGAUGCAUAGCUGGUCUGAGAGGAUGAACAGCCACAUUGGGACUGAGACACGGCCCAGACUCCUACGGGAGGCAGCAGUAGGGAAUUUUCGGCAAAGGGGGAAACCCUGACCGAGCAACGCCGCGUGAGUGAAGAAGGUUUUCGGAUUGUAAAGCUCUGUUGUAAGGGAAGAAAUGUACUGUGAGAAACAGUACUUGACGGUACCUUACCAGAAAG
RNAcentral lists this ribosomal RNA (471 nucleotides) under uncultured bacterium. Its description in RNAcentral is "SSU rRNA". It matches the Rfam family "Bacterial small subunit ribosomal RNA", at positions 28 to 490 of the family's 1533-position model. The record is from RNAcentral.